UACGUAGGUGGCGAGCGUUGUCCGGAAUUACUGGGUGUAAAGGGCGUGUAGGCGGGAAUGUAAGUCAGAUGUGAAAUUCCGAGGCUCAACCUCGGCGCUGCAUCUGAAACUGCGUUUCUUGAGUGUCGGAGAGGAAAGUGGAAUUCCCAGUGUAGCGGUGAAAUGCGUAGAGAUUGGGAGGAACACCAGUGGCGAAGGCGACUUUCUGGACGAUAACUGACGCUGAGGCGCGAAAGCGUGGGGAGCAAACAGG
This 253-nucleotide ribosomal RNA is filed under the name uncultured bacterium. RNAcentral's name for it is "partial 16S ribosomal RNA". It matches the Rfam family "Bacterial small subunit ribosomal RNA", at positions 524 to 776 of the family's 1533-position model. The record is from RNAcentral.